This 364-nucleotide ribosomal RNA is filed under the name uncultured Escherichia sp. Its description in RNAcentral is "bacterial SSU rRNA". It matches the Rfam family "Bacterial small subunit ribosomal RNA", at positions 524 to 887 of the family's 1533-position model. The record is from RNAcentral. Lineage: Bacteria; Pseudomonadati; Pseudomonadota; Gammaproteobacteria; Enterobacterales; Enterobacteriaceae.
UACGGAGGGUGCAAGCGUUAAUCGGAAUUACUGGGCGUAAAGCGCACGCAGGCGGUUUGUUAAGUCAGAUGUGAAAUCCCCGGGCUCAACCUGGGAACUGCAUCUGAUACUGGCAAGCUUGAGUCUCGUAGAGGGGGGUAGAAUUCCAGGUGUAGCGGUGAAAUGCGUAGAGAUCUGGAGGAAUACCGGUGGCGAAGGCGGCCCCCUGGACGAAGACUGACGCUCAGGUGCGAAAGCGUGGGGAGCAAACAGGAUUAGAUACCCUGGUAGUCCACGCCCUAAACGAUGUCAACUGGUUGUUGGGUCUUCACUGACUCAGUAACGAAGCUAACGCGUGAAGUUGACCGCCCUGGGGAGUACGGCC